RNAcentral lists this ribosomal RNA (451 nucleotides) under uncultured bacterium. RNAcentral describes it as "partial 16S ribosomal RNA". It matches the Rfam family "Bacterial small subunit ribosomal RNA", at positions 354 to 796 of the family's 1533-position model. The record is from RNAcentral.
GUGGGGAAUAUUGGACAAUGGGGGGAACCCUGAUCCAGCCAUGCCGCGUGUGUGAAGAAGGCCUUUUGGUUGUAAAGCACUUUAAGCGAGGAGGAGGCUACUCUAGUUAAUACCUAGGGAUAGUGGACGUUACUCGCAGAAUAAGCACCGGCUAACUCUGUGCCAGCAGCCGCGGUAAUACAGAGGGUGCGAGCGUUAAUCGGAUUUACUGGGCGUAAAGCGUGCGUAGGCGGCUUUUUACGUCGGAUGUGAAAUCACUGAGCUUAACUUAGGAAUUGCAUUCGAUACUGGGAAGCUAGAGUAUGGGAGAGGAUGGUAGAAUUCCAGGUGUAGCGGUGAAAUGCGUAGAGAUCUGGAGGAAUACCGAUGGCGAAGGCAGCCAUCUGGCUUAAUACUGACGCUGAGGUACGAAAGCAUGGGGAGCAAACAGGAUUAGAAACCCCAGUAGUCC